This 88-nucleotide signal recognition particle RNA is filed under the name Mycoplasmataceae bacterium. RNAcentral's name for it is "signal recognition particle sRNA small type". It matches the Rfam family "Bacterial small signal recognition particle RNA". Rfam says of the family: The signal recognition particle (SRP) is a universally conserved ribonucleoprotein involved in the co-translational targeting of proteins to membranes. The record is from RNAcentral. Lineage: Bacteria; Bacillati; Mycoplasmatota; Mollicutes; Mycoplasmatales; Mycoplasmataceae.
AUUUGGCGUCACAACAUCGAUGUCGAACCGUGUCAGAGUAGAAAUACAGCAGCACUAAGAAUCUUCUUUGUGUGUGGCGCCGUUUAAC